AUUGAACGCUGGCGGCAGGCUUAACACAUGCAAGUCGAGCGGGGAAAGGUAGCUUGCUACCUGACCUAGCGGCGGACGGGUGAGUAAUGCUUAGGAAUCUGCCUAUUAGUGGGGGACAACAUCUCGAAAGGGAUGCUAAUACCGCAUACGUCCUACGGGAGAAAGCAGGGGACCUUCGGGCCUUGCGCUAAUAGAUGAGCCUAAGUCGGAUUAGCUAGUUGGUGGGGUAAAGGCCUACCAAGGCGACGAUCUGUAGCGGGUCUGAGAGGAUGAUCCGCCACACUGGGACUGAGACACGGCCCAGACUCCUACGGGAGGCAGCAGUGGGGAAUAUUGGACAAGGGGGGGAACCCUGAGCCAGCCAUGCCGCGGGUGUGAAGAAGGCCGUUUGGUUGUAAAGCACGUUAAGCGAGGAGGAGGCUACCGAGAUUAAUACUCUUGGAUAGUGGACGUUACUCGCAGAAUAAGCACCGGCUAACUCUGUG
This 485-nucleotide ribosomal RNA is filed under the name uncultured bacterium. RNAcentral's name for it is "partial 16S ribosomal RNA". It matches the Rfam family "Bacterial small subunit ribosomal RNA", at positions 30 to 507 of the family's 1533-position model. The record is from RNAcentral.